UGGGUUGUAGCUCAGUGGUAGAGCACUUACCUUGCAUGUGUGAGGCUCUGGGUUCAAGCCUCGGCACCUCAU
This 72-nucleotide transfer RNA is filed under the name Marmota monax (woodchuck). It matches the Rfam family "tRNA". Rfam says of the family: Transfer RNA (tRNA) molecules are approximately 80 nucleotides in length. Their secondary structure includes four short double-helical elements and three loops (D, anti-codon, and T loops). Further hydrogen bonds mediate the characteristic L-shaped molecular structure. tRNAs have two regions of fundamental functional importance: the anti-codon, which is responsible for specific mRNA codon recognition, and the 3' end, to which the tRNAs corresponding amino acid is attached (by aminoacyl-tRNA synthetases). tRNAs cope with the degeneracy of the genetic code in two manners: having more than one tRNA (with a specific anti-codon) for a particular amino acid; and 'wobble' base-pairing, i.e. permitting non-standard base-pairing at the 3rd anti-codon position. Lineage: Eukaryota; Metazoa; Chordata; Mammalia; Rodentia; Sciuridae. The record is from Rfam by way of RNAcentral.